GUCGAGAUGGCUAAUCAGUAUUGAGGCUCGAGGGCACUCGGGCAGCUUUUCAAUGCGGUUUUCCUUUCAUCUCAAGCUGGAUGGAGGCGCUCAAUUAAAAGCCUAUCAGUUUGUCAGGCUGGCGAGCUGCAAACCCUGGUCAGGAUCACCCAAAAAACCCGGACUGACUAUUUUUCCCUCGGGAGAGCGAACUGCAGAAACCUCGACACCAGCGUGCCUGCUCUGAGAGCUUGCUCUCUUGCCAUUUAAGUGUCAGCUUCUGUAGAUCAUGUUGGAAAAGGGCGUUUAGUCUUUUAAACGGAACAGCAGCAACCCUACAGGCCCUUUAGUUUAGCUUUUUUGUUUGUUUGUUUUUUCCUUCUCCCCCCCUUUAUUUUCUAUCUUUUCGAACAAGACUAAGAUGUUAAUUAGCAGAAGCAGAGUUGCUGAGUUGUGUCUGGGUUGUGUUUCUGUGUGUAACACAAUUCAGUUACAUGUCUGUCCAUCCGGUGCGUCAAAUUUAUUUCCUUUGAUAGUACUUACAUUUCACUAUCUGCCCCAAGGUUUUUAUUAAGAUAUACAUUGCAAUACAUUUUUGUAGAUGGUGCAUCUUCUUUCUUUUUAUUUUUAUUUCUCACACGAAUGAUAGUACUUCAUAUAAGAAGAUAAGAAAUGUGAUGGGUGAUCAGAAAUACACCACCACAAUUUGGUACAUUUGGAGAGAGGCUUUUUUCCCUUUUUAUUUUUAUUUUUUUUUUAAUGCGAGACUGCAUGUGCUCAGCUAAUAACUGAUGUGUCUGCCCAGGUAUCCAGCAGAGGUGAGGGGUAUUUAUUCCAGAAUAUUGUUAAAGUGAAUAGUUGGAAAGCUUGCCAACAUGAAGUAAGAUUUCCAAACCUCUCCCCUGUUCGCAUAGUACCUGAAAAUAUUUACCCUUAUGAUUGUAAUUACUUUCCUAACACAUAGAAGCAAUAUAUAUUUUACUCUGCAUGAGAUGUAGGUAAUCGUUUUAUAAGCGGUGAUAAUUUCAGAGCCAUCUUCAAAAUAAUAGUCACGUUUAAGCUAACGUGAAUUUUAGAAGUCAGUGGCAUUUUUACUAAACGAGCAGAAAAUCACUUUUGUUUGCUUGUUUGGCUGGUUGCUUACUGCUUUCGGAAACAUAGCUUCACCUAGAAUGUUUUCAAAUGCGUUUGUCUAAUUUUGUUCCUUUAGUUACACCGAGAUAAGGAAGAGAUUAAUGCACCUAAUAAUAAAAAGACCCCACCCCAAACUCUUUUUAGCCCU
RNAcentral lists this long non-coding RNA (1261 nucleotides) under Zonotrichia albicollis (white-throated sparrow). RNAcentral's name for it is "lncRNA (ENSZALG00000013271.1)". Lineage: Eukaryota; Metazoa; Chordata; Aves; Passeriformes; Passerellidae. The record is from RNAcentral.